This 1024-nucleotide ribosomal RNA is filed under the name Providencia vermicola. Its description in RNAcentral is "bacterial SSU rRNA". It matches the Rfam family "Bacterial small subunit ribosomal RNA", at positions 76 to 1199 of the family's 1533-position model. Lineage: Bacteria; Pseudomonadati; Pseudomonadota; Gammaproteobacteria; Enterobacterales; Morganellaceae. The record is from RNAcentral.
AGUAGCUGCUUCUCGCUGACGAGCGGCGGACGGGUGAGUAAUGUAUGGGGAUCUGCCCGAUAAAGGGGGAUAACUACUGGAAACGGUGGCUAAUACCGCAUAAUCUCUUAAGAGCAAAGCAUGGGAACUUCGGGCCUUGCGCUAUCGGAUGAACCCAUAUGGGAUUAGCUAGUAAGUGGGGUAAUGGCUCACCUAGGCGACGAUCCCUAGCUGGUCUGACAGGAUGAUCAGCCACACUGGGACUGAGACACGGACCAGACUCCUACAGGAGGCAGCAAUGGGGAAUAUUGCACAAUGGGCGCAAGCCUGAUGCAGCCAUGCCGCGUGUAUGAAGAAGGCCCUAAGGUUGUAAAGUACUUUCACUCUGGAGGAAGGCGUUGAUGCUAAUAUCAUCAACAAUUGACGUUACCGACAGAACAAGCACCGGCUAACUCCGUGCCAUCAGCCGCGGUAAUACCGAGGGUGCAAGCGUUAAUCGGAAUUACUGGACGUAAAGCGCACCCAGGCGGUUGAUUAAGUUACAUGUGAAAUCCCCGGGCUUAACCUGGUAAUGGCAUCUAAGACUGGUCAACUAGAGUCUUGUAAAGGGGGGUAAAAUUCCAUGUGUUCCGGUGAAAUGCGUAAAGAUGUGGAGGAAUACCAGUGGCAAAGGCGGCCCCCUGGACUCUCACUGACGCUCAUGUGCCAAAGCAUGGGGAGCAAACAGGAUUAAAUACCCUGGAUGUCCUCGCUGUCAACGAUGUCAAUUAGGAGGGUGUGCCCUUGAGGCGUGUCUUCCCGAUCUAACUCGUUAUAUCGACCGCCUGGGGAGUACUGCCGAGAGGUUAAAACUCACAUGAACUGACGGGGGCCCGCACAAGCCGUGGAACAUGUGGGUUUAAUUCGAUUCAACUCGAAGAACCUUACCUACUCUUGACAUCCCUAGAAAUUUAUCAGAAAUGCUUUAAGUGCCUUUCGGGAACCUCUGAGACAGGUGCUGACAUGGUGUGUGAGUGCUAACMAYWGMGSUGAMCUAACAGAUGGC